ACCUCAGCUCAAGCAAGAAAACCCGCUGAACUUAAGCAUAUCAAUAAGCGGAGGAAAAGAAACUAACAAGGAUUCCCCUAGUAACGGCGAGUGAAGAGGGAAAAGCUCAAAUUUUAAAUCUACCUGGUUCCCAGGUCGAAUUGUAUUUUGAAGAAUCGAUAUCGGUGUUGAGGUCUGGUUCAAGUUCUUUGGAACAAGACAUCAUGGAGGGUGAGAAUCCCGUGCAUGAUCAGACCAAGAUACUUUAUAUUCGUUUUCUAAGAGUCGAGUUGUUUGGGAAUGCAGCUCAAAUUGGGUGGUAGACUUCACCUAAGGCUAAAUAUCAGCGAGAGACCGAUAGCGAACAAGUACUGUGAAGGAAAGAUGAAAAGCACUUUGAAAAGAGAGUUAAAUAGUACGUGAAAUUGUUGAAAGGGAAACGAUUGAAGUCAGUCAUGCUAGUGAAAAUUCAGUUUGACGGGUUUUGGGUUUAGGAGUAAGAGAUAGGGUCAAACCAUCUCUCUUUUAAACUUGGGAUUUGUCGGAUGCACUUUUUCUUUGGCAGGUCAGCGUCGAUUUCGGGGGUUGUAAAAUACUUGGGGGAAAGUAGCUCUGCUUCGGGAGAGUGUUAUAGACCUUGGGAGAUGCAGCCCGUGGGAUCGAGGAUUGCAGCAAAUGCCUUUGGCUUGUCGCCUGAUCUCUGGUUGUUACCUCAUUUAUGACAACAUUCUUGUCAUCGAUGAGUGCUAAUGGCUAUUAGGUUAGAACGAUCAAAAAUUUGCUAAGGAUGCUGGCGUAAUGGCUUUAAACGACCCGUCUUGAAACACGGACCAAGGAGUCUAACAUAUGUGCGAGUGUUUGGGUGACAAACCCGGAACGCGUAAUGAAAGUGAAUACGGGUGGGAUCCUCCUCGUGGGGAGCACCAUCAACCGAUCAGGAUAUUUUUUGAUAGAUUUGAGUAAGAGCACAUCUGUUGGGACCCGAAAGAUGGUGAACUAUGCCUGAAUAGGGUGAAGCCAGAGGAAACUCUGGU
RNAcentral lists this ribosomal RNA (1013 nucleotides) under Diversispora versiformis. RNAcentral's name for it is "eukaryotic LSU rRNA". It matches the Rfam family "Eukaryotic large subunit ribosomal RNA", at positions 1 to 868 of the family's 3401-position model. Lineage: Eukaryota; Fungi; Glomeromycota; Glomeromycetes; Diversisporales; Diversisporaceae. The record is from RNAcentral.